This 485-nucleotide ribosomal RNA is filed under the name uncultured bacterium. Its description in RNAcentral is "partial 16S ribosomal RNA". It matches the Rfam family "Bacterial small subunit ribosomal RNA", at positions 28 to 507 of the family's 1533-position model. The record is from RNAcentral.
GAUGAACGCGAGCGGCAGGGCUAAUACAUGCAAGCCAAGGGCUGUUUGGGGUAGAAAGACAUCAAACAACCGGCGGACGGGUGCGUAACGCGUAUGCAACCUACCCUAUACAGAAGGAUAGCCCUCGGAAACGAGGAUUAAUACACCAUAAGAUUGCUUAGAGGCAUCGUUAAGCAAUUAAAUCCGCAAGGCGGUAUAGGAUGGGCGUGAGUCCGAUUAGCUAGUUGGUGAGGUAACGGCUCACCAAGGCGAUGAUCGGUAGGGGUUCUGAGAGGAAGAUCCCCCCCACGGGCCCUGAGCCUCGGGCCCGACUCCUACUGGAGGCAGCAGUAAGGAAUCUUGGACUAUGGGUGACACCCUGAUCCAGCCAUGCCGCGUGCAGGAAGACGGCCCUAUGGGUUGUAACCUGCUUUUGAGCGCGCGAAAUCAGCUCGAUGCGUCGCUCGCUGAUAGUCCUUUUCGAAUAAGCAUCGGCUACCUUCGUG